This 256-nucleotide ribosomal RNA is filed under the name uncultured bacterium. Its description in RNAcentral is "partial small subunit ribosomal RNA". It matches the Rfam family "Bacterial small subunit ribosomal RNA", at positions 26 to 285 of the family's 1533-position model. The record is from RNAcentral.
AGGACGAACGCUGGCGGCGUGCUUAACACAUGCAAGUCGAGCGGAAGGCCUUCGGGUACGUCGAGCGGCGAACGGGUGAGUAACACGUGAGCAACCUGCCCUUAGCUCCGGGAUAGCUCCGGGAAACCGGAAUUAAUACCGGAUACGACCACGGCCGACAUCUGCUGUGGUGGAAAGGAUUCCGGCUAAGGGAUGGGCUCGCGGCCGUACUCAGCUAGUUGGUGGAGGUAACGGCCCACCAAGGCGACGACGGGUA